Molecule: ribosomal RNA, 223 nt
Filed under: uncultured bacterium
Lineage: Bacteria
Description: partial 16S ribosomal RNA
Rfam family: Bacterial small subunit ribosomal RNA
Source: RNAcentral
GACAGCUACCUAGUUGUGAGGAUGCAAAUCUCGAAAGCCGGUCUCAGUUCGGAUUGGAGUCUGCAACUCGACUCUAUGAAGCUGGAAUCGCUAGUAAUCGCGCAUCAGCCAUGGCGCGGUGAAUACGUUCCCGGGCCUUGUACACACCGCCCGUCACACCAUGGGAGUUUGUUGCACCAGAAGUAGGUAGUCUAACCGCAAGGAGGACGCUUACCACGGUGUA